ACGGGACACGUGAAACCCUGUGGGAAGCAGGAGGGACCACCCUCCAAGGCUAAAUACUACCUAGUGACCGAUAGCGUAUAGUACCGUGAGGGAAAGGUGAAAAGAACCCCGGGAGGGGAGUGAAAUAGAACCUGAAACCCUGCACUUACAAGCUGUGGAAGCACAUUUCUUGUGUGACCGCGUACUUUUUGUAGAACGGGCCAACGAGUUACGUUAAGUAGCAAGGUUAAGCACUUAAGGUGCGGAGCCGUAGCGAAAGCGAGUUUUAACUGAGCGUUCAGUUACUUGACGUAGACCCGAAACCGGGCGACCUACCCAUGAGCAGGAUGAAGCGAAAGUAAAAUUUCGUGGAGGUCCGAACCCACGAGCGUUGAAAAGCUCGGGGAUGACUUGUGGGUAGCGGUGAAAUUCCAAUCGAGCCCGGAGAUAGCUGGUUCUCCCCGAAAUAGCUUUAGGGCUAGCCUCAAGGUGAGAGAUACGGAGGUAGAGCACUGAAUGUCCUAGGGGGUAUUGCACCUACCGAAGACUAUCAAACUCCGAAUGCCGUCAUCUUAUACUUGGGAGUCAGACUGUGGGUGAUAAGAUUCAUAGUCGAAAGGGCAACAGCCCAGAUCGUCAGCUAAGGUCCCUAAAUGUAAGUUAAGUGGUAAAGGAUGUGGGAUUGCACAGACAACCAGGAUGUUGGCUUAGAAGCAGCCACUCAUUCAAAGAGUGCGUAAUAGCUCACUGGUCGAGUGAUCCUGCGCCGAAGAUUUCCGGGGCUAAAACUUACUACCGAAGCUACGGCAUCAGUAAUGAUGGGUAGGGGAGCUUCCCAUACGGGUUGAAGCAUGACCGUAAGGACAUGUGGACAGUAUGGGAGUGAGAAUGUUGGCAUGAGUAGCGAGAUGUGGGUGAGAAUCCCACAGGCCGUAAACCCAAGGUUUCCAGGGGAAGGUUCGUCCGCCCUGGGUUAGUCGGGACCUAAGCUGAGGCCGAAAGGCGUAGGUGAUGGACAACAGGUUGAUAUUCCUGUACUACCGAUAACCGUUUGAGAGAAGGGAUGACACAGUAGGAUAAGCUAAGCACACUGUUGGUUAUGUGUGCCCAAGCAUUGAGGCAGUCAAAGUAGGCAAA
Molecule: ribosomal RNA, 1116 nt
Filed under: Clostridioides difficile
Lineage: Bacteria; Bacillati; Bacillota; Clostridia; Peptostreptococcales; Peptostreptococcaceae
Description: partial 23S ribosomal RNA
Rfam family: Bacterial large subunit ribosomal RNA
Source: RNAcentral